AUGUACAAAACCACCAGAACACACAGGUCUAGAUUACUGUGUACUUACAGUCAGCUCUGCCACCAGGAAGGAAUCUCAUUUCUAUGGAAAUUAAAACCAGGUCUUCAAUCCAGGAUUAAAGCAGAAAUAUAUCUUUGUUUCAAAGACCGCUACAGUAAAUUGUCUUUAUUUAAAGCUGUAUUUCCAACCUGUUAUGUUAAUUACAUUUUUGGUGGUGACACUAUGAAAGUGAAUUGUAUAGUCAAAAAAGAUUCCUCUAAUGUAUUUGAUUCACUAUCACAAUUUACUCUUGGGUAAUAAAAAUUAAUUCCUGCUAUCUUCUUCCCCCCUCCUUUGAUUACCAUUUUGCCUUUUUUUUUUUUGUCAAUAUGCCUGAGUUUUUUCUUUAUAUCCUGUCUGUAAAAUAAUUUGAGAGCAAUGCAUGUAUGCUUAUUUUGCUCAUUUGGAAAUUAUUCAAUUAUUUAUUCUCAACCUGACAUGAACCUGGGGGAGAGAGCUUGGAAAAAAAAGAACCUGUAAAUCCAACUAUUUUCACUAAACUUUAUAUUUGAGGAAGAAGGAAAGCUUAAACACUUAAGAAGAAUAAAAAAGUGCCCUUUAUUGCUGCCCA
This 610-nucleotide long non-coding RNA is filed under the name Anser brachyrhynchus (Pink-footed goose). RNAcentral describes it as "lncRNA (ENSABRG00000006715.1)". Lineage: Eukaryota; Metazoa; Chordata; Aves; Anseriformes; Anatidae. The record is from RNAcentral.